RNAcentral lists this long non-coding RNA (472 nucleotides) under Rattus norvegicus (Norway rat). RNAcentral describes it as "long non-coding RNA NONRATT008504". The record is from RNAcentral. Lineage: Eukaryota; Metazoa; Chordata; Mammalia; Rodentia; Muridae.
GAAAAAAGAUACAGACCAAUUGCUGAAGAUGUCCUUUUGCGAGCUUUCGAGGUUUUGGAUCCAACUAAACGUGGGUUUCUGACUAAGGAUGAACUAGUCAAGUACAUGACUGAGGAAGGAGUGUUGUUCCCAUGGAGGCUCCCUCUGGAGCUGGAGUUACAUGGUAACUCAACUCAUGGUCUUAAUUUCUGAGCCAUCCUUUCAGCCCCAAUUAUACACUUUUAACAAUUAUGCAAAAUUUAUAGGAGAUGAUACUUUAAAAACAAUGAUUUGAUUAAAUAGUUAUUUCUAUUAUUUUGAUUUGGCAUUUGAUUUUGUAUAAUAGAAGUAAAAUGAUUACUUGUAUAAAUUAUGCUUACUUUAUUUACUUAAAAUAUUUCCUGAAUAUGCCACUUAAAGAACAUUAACUAUCAAUCAUAAACUAUGCCUUUUUGGAUAGAAGAUUUGAAUUAAAGUAUAUACAAUUUCUUUU